RNAcentral lists this ribosomal RNA (474 nucleotides) under uncultured bacterium. RNAcentral's name for it is "bacterial SSU rRNA". It matches the Rfam family "Bacterial small subunit ribosomal RNA", at positions 28 to 466 of the family's 1533-position model. The record is from RNAcentral.
GAUGAACGCCGGCGGUGUGCCUAAUACAUGCAAGUCGUACGCACUGGCCCAACUGAUUGAUGGUGCUUGCACCUGAUUGACGAUGGAUCACCAGUGAGUGGCGGACGGGUGAGUAACACGUAGGUAACCUGCCCCGGAGCGGGGAUAACAUUUGGAAACAGAUGCUAAUACCGCAUAACAACAAAAGCCACAUGGCUUUGUUUGAAAGAUGGCUUUGGCUAUCACUCUGGGAUGGACCUGCGGUGCAUUAGCUAGUUGGUAAGGCAACGGCUUACCAAGGCGAUGAUGCAUAGCCGAGUUGAGAGACUGAUCGGCCACAAUGGAACUGAGACACGGGUCCAUACUCCUACGGGAGGCAGCAGUAGGGAAUCUUCCACAAUGGGCGCAAGCCUGAUGGAGCAACACCGCGUGAGUGAAGAAGGGUUUCGGCUCGUAAAGCUCUGUUGUUGGAGAAGAACGUGCGUGAGAGUAACG